RNA transcript from Solea solea (common sole), 6221 nucleotides. It is a transcript of the gene named chromatin remodeling regulator CECR2, with no coding region annotated. The record is from RefSeq and is a predicted model, not a curated record. The transcript is spliced from 20 exons. Lineage: Eukaryota; Metazoa; Chordata; Actinopteri; Pleuronectiformes; Soleidae.
CGCUGUGUAGUGACUUAUAAUAUACACAAUUUUAAUAUUUACAUGCCCCCCCAUAUGCUCACACACGGUGUUAUUUGUAGAGUAACUCAAACCCUCUCCCCUCCUCGCUGCGCAGUGGUAUCGCCCUCCCCAUCUGUUCAGCUCCGGUGAGACUGAUAGAAACAGAUUGUAGCGCUCCCAGAGUCGGCUGCGAUGUUAGCUGUCCGGACACAACAAGUUUGCUUUUGUUUGUAAUGUUACGGAGAUGUUAUAAGUCGCAGAGGAAACUACUUUCUAAUGUGAGGAACAAGCGACACACCACUUCUGCUGUCCAAACAUGUCCCAGGGAUGUAUGAUUUCUGUGGAAGAGAUCCAGUCUUGGUGGGAAGUCCCCGCCAUAGCCCACUUCUGCUCGCUGUUCAGGACAGCGUUCAACCUUCCAGACUUUGAAAUAGAGGAAUUGGAAAAAGCUCUGUCGGAGCAGGACUUGAACUUCCUCGGGGACCUCAUUGCCUGUCUGUUGCAGGGAUGCUACCAGCGCAAAGACAUCACCCCCGAGGCAUUUAGCCGUUACCUGGAAGAUAUCAUCAGCUACCGGUGGGAGCUGGAGGAGGGAAAGCCCAACCCUCUCAGAGAGGGACCUUUCGAGAAUCUCCCUCCUCGUACUCAGGUUGAACUGCUGCACCGACUCUGUGAUUAUCGUCUGGAUGCUGCUGAUGUCUUUGACCUGCUUAAGGGACUGGAUGCAGACAGCCUGCGGGUGGAACCGUUGGGGCAAGAUGGAAAUGGAGCCCUCUACUGGUACUUUUAUGGCACUCGUAUGUACAAAGAGGAGCCAGUGAGGAAGAGGAAAGCUUCUAAGAUCAGUGAGUCAUCUGAACUAUCACUACCAGAGAAAAAGAAAAGGGGAAGACCACCAAAGAAGAGAACAUUAGAUGAACCUCAUCUUAGCGACGUGGAAAAAGAUGUGUCAGAGGACAAGUCAGACAAUGGACUGGAGGAGUCUCCCCCAUGCAAAGCAGGUCACAAGCGAGGCACUUGGUCCCUUGUGUGUGACACAGAGGAAGAGUGGGUCAGGCUGGCUGAAAGCAUCAAGGACAACACCUCCCCACAGGACCGCCAUCUCCACCGGGUCAUCACCCAGAACUUCCUGCCUGAGAUCAGGAGCAUGAUAGAGCACAAGGAGCGAGAGCAUAAACAGAAACUUCUGGACCCGCCCCUGCUGCCCACAUCACAACGCUUCUCUGAAAAAAACAUUCAGCAAGAAGACGAGGAUGGUCUGAAGGCUGUGACAGAGGAGGAGAGAAAGAAGGAUGAAGAGCUGGACAGGCAGGUCCUGUUGGCUGAACAGCGACAAGAAGAGGAGAGACGUCUGCAGGAGGAACGGCAGAGAGAGAAGAUGGAAAAGAUCAAAGCUGUGGAAGAACGAGCGAAGAGACGGAAGAUGCGAGAGGAAAAGGCCUGGCUGCUGUCUCAAGGAAAAGAGCUGCCACCUGAGCUACUGAAUCUAGAACCUUCCUCCCCUGUACACAGAACACGCCGGAAUAAAGAUUUCUAUGAAAUUGAUGACGACUACACCGCUCUAUACAAAGUGCUUGAGGUCCUGAAAUCCCAUAAAGAUGCUUGGCCUUUCUUGGAGCCUGUGGAUGACUCCUAUGCCCCCAAUUACCAUGAGCUCAUCCAGACUCCCAUGGACCUGUCCACCAUUGAAAAGAAGCUCAAUGAAGGAGACUACAUUGCCAAGGAGGAGUUUGUUGCUGACGUGAAGCUCAUGUUUGAAAACUGUGUUGAGUACAACGGGGAAGACAGUGAAUACACUAUCAUGGCAGAGUCCCUAGAGCGGUGUUUCAGUCGGGCCAUGUUGAAACACUUUCCAUCAGAGGAUGGCGACACAGAUGAGGAAUUCAACAUCAGACAAGAAGACAGGGAGCGCAAGGAUAAAAAGCGCAACCGUGGAAAUAAAAAUCUGGGACCUGAAAGUCUAAUCAAGGCCACUGAGCAAGUCCAACGUAAGCGAAACUCCCAAGGGGGCAAGGGCAUCUCGCCCUCAGAGGAAGAGGACAACAAGCUGACACGGCCACUGCUUCCUCCACACUGGACCAAUGGCCCCCCUCACCCUCACAGUCUGCCGCCAAGCCAACAACGUAUCCACGAAGGAGACAUGAGAGGCAUGUACCACCCAGGACAACAGCUCCGUCAUCCUGGCCCACAUAUGUAUGCCCAAAGAAUGGCUAUGGAUCCUCGCUUUGCUUACCCAGCUCACAUUUCCAGGCAUGGAGACCCCAACUUGAACCACUUUCCCCGUAACUUUAACAUGCAGCAUCGCAUGGUUGAAGGACAUCAUAUGGGUCCGAGGUAUCCAAUGGGCCCAGAUCCGAACCAGCAGCCACCUCCACACCAGCAGCAGCACCCUUACAUGGGUCCAACUCAUGGUCCAUCUCUGGGCCCACGUCCCAUGGCCCUACAGCCUGGACCUCCUCCUGAAGCAAGCAUGUACCCAUCCCACCACCAUGCAGAGGGCCACGCCAUGCACCAAAUGGGCAACAGAUUCCCAGGACCAGAUAGACCAACUCAGCACAACUACCCUGGCUUGAGGCCGCCUGGCUUGAGUCUUUCCAACAUGUGGACUAGUAUGAAUCAACAAGAGAGACCAAAUGGGAUACACAUGCAAGAUCCCAACAGAGUCAACCAGCACAACUUCACUUAUGGAGGGGUUCCACCUCCAGCAGGGCAUAAACCAUGGCCCGAAGCUGCAGGAUACCCACACCCACAUCCCAAUGCCCACUAUCAAAUGUCUUCAGGGGUCAGCUCCCAGGGGUCCAUGUCCUCACACCCCGCUCCCCACCAAGACUCCAUUAACAGGACACGCUUGGCUUCAAUGCUGGAAAGCCCUGAGAUGCUUGCCCUGCAGCAGCUGUCAGCUUCUUCUCGACCCCCUGCCGGUGCCCCUCAUCAGCACAUGGGCAACUUUCAGCAGUCUGGGCCCCCAUCAGGAAUUGGCAGCAUCCCAGCUCACCCUUCUCAACAGCCUCCCCCUGCCCCUGAGGUUCAGCUGCUGCGUCCUGCUACAGACAAUGGGCCAGACAGCCAGGCCUGCCAACAGACAGACAUGCAGCCCAAAGGCACAUCAGAGAACAAAAUGGUGCCCAACAACAUUUCUGAAGGAGCUCAAUCACAAGAGAACAGUUUGUCAAUUAAUCAAGAGCACCCACCCAAUCCUAGUCCCACAGGACACCACACUGGGGCAGCAGAGGGAAUGCAGAGCCCCCCGACCCCCAAGUCAGGCAAAUCACAAGACAAUUCUUCUGGACCCGAGCUCUCACAGAGCUCAACAGCGAGCCACAAGCCGGAUGUAGAUGACCACAGACAGUCUGCCAGCCACUGUCCUCCUCAACUCAAUAGUGCCCCUACUGUUUCACCACAUGUCGACACAAACCACGACAGUUCCACAGAUUUUUCGCCACCAAAUCCUUCUCAGAGUACAGAACACAUACAAAACGCUCCAGGCCCUGCACUUCUUCCCCGGAAUGCCCUUCCACUGCAGGUACCAGGAUCUCAGAAUUCUACUCGGCAGGACAACUUGCCACACAUGCUGAAUGCACCACAGCAGCAAAGCGAGCACCAGCAGAACAUUCAAAAACAGCAGCAGCAAUCUCAGGCAACCCAAAGAGUCCCCUCUCAAUGCCCCCCCUCUAGCUCUCCACAGCUGAUGAGCCAAGAUGCACAACAACACAAUUCUCCACAUCAUGUCCAACAAAGCGUCUCCCCCCAACAUCCCACACAGAACAGCCCCAUGCAUGGGAUGCCUCAGAGUUCCACACAAGGAGCCCAGCCUGGACCACCUCAACCAGCUCCUCUCACGUCUUUACCACCCAGUCAUCCUGCUCCACUGUUCCCCUCACAGCCUAGUCCUGCAGACCACGGUAAUCAAAGACCCAGUGAGCCUACAAGUAGAGCAGACACAGAGGGUACCACUACUGCUCCACAGCACACCGUGAUGAAAUCUGGGCCUCCAAGUGGUAUUUAUAAACAUCAGGGUUUCAGCCCCAGUCACCACCAAGCCCAACUGGUAGGUAGUAACACAGGUUUGCAGACUCCGAGAGGGUCUUCACCUGGUCACAACCCAGCUAUGCCUCCCCACUCCCAAGACCAUGUAAAUGGAACCAUGGGUCCUUACAGCAUGGGGAACCCUCAGCAUCCACACUACAACCAGACUAACAUGACGAGAUCCAUGCCUCCAUCUGUGCACCACUCUUAUCACAACCAGACCAUGAACCCCCUUCCUGCUCACCACCCCUCCUACCACCAGCAGGGAGGGACUGCUUACCCCUACCACAUGCCUGGUCAACAGCACCCUCAGGCUCACCCCAACAUGUACCCACCUCAUCAGUACCAGCAGCAACACUACUACCCCCAGCACCAUCCGCAAGCUCAGACCCAUGGUCAGGCUAAUAAUAGACGGGGUUAUCCCCCAGAGGAGUGGCAUCGGUCACCUUAUCAACCACACCAUCAAAUGGCAUCUAAUGCCUACCUACCUGUGGGCAGUGCCAGAGGCAACAGUCAGUCAAAGGAGAGCAGUAUGUCACCUAUGGGCUCUGAGGGUUCCAGUGGGGCUGCCUUGCUGUCUCCUGGCCCUAUGGCCGAAGCAGGGCCAAACUCUGGUGGCUCAGAGGAGGGAAAGGUGGAAAGCAGGUCACAGGCAAGCAGAGGCAGCAGCAGUGGUGGCAGUCCAGUUCAUAAUGAGAGCUCAGACCAUCCUGAAAGCCCAAAAGAAAUCCUGGACCUGGACAGCCAUAAUGCUGCUGCCCGCCACCGUGGCCCACAGCCACCUCAACAGCUACACCCAACCGCCUCAGCUUCACAUAUGUCGCCUGGCUUUAUGUACAACUCGCGUGCCUUGCACCCUGGGAUGCAGCAAGGGGGUGCCCCUCUACCACAUGUGAUGUCACAUGCCCGAGGAGUUGUAAAUGGAAGCCCGUACCCUUGCCAGCCAUACCCAGAUCCAGGACGCUAUGCUGGCCAGAGACCUCACCCACACCUAAUGGAGGCUCUGCAGCGGCCUCAGCAGCUGCCGUACAGCCCAGGUCAGACACGCAUGGCAAUGUACCAGAAUCCACACCCUGCAGGGCACUACCAAGGCAUGAUGAUUCAGCAGAGAUUCCGAGCACCAGAACACUUCCUACACCCAGGGCAGCAAAUGAUGGCUGCUCCUCGAGGCCCUAGCAGUAAACAGGGAGUGUGACAUACAUGUUACUAAUGAAGAGCAUCCAGACAAAGUCACGAGCAGAAAGGAAGAUGAAGUCGUGCAGGCGGGGCAGGCAGAGACUACAAUGGGGAUGCUUUGCUCCACGGCCAACUUUACAUGAUAUUCUGGAGAAAAACAAGAACGUAAACUCCAUUUUGCCCACAUUUGGACUGGAAGAUCCAAGCAGGCAGCUGGAAUUACUUAUCUGUUGAUGAUGCUGUGAAAUGUUUUUGAGUCCUCUCCACGCAGAGCUCACUGAGGUCAGGAACAAAAAUGCUCUGUGGAACUGGAAUGAAUUCAUCCCAGCACACAUUAGCAGAACGGCUGCAUUCUGUCAUGUGUGACUCCAUCAGAAGAGCAGUAUUUUUAACCACUAGUUAAACCUGCCUCACACAGGGGACACGUCCUUUUCCUCUUUGAGGAGUGAAAAUAUGGAUUUUUUUUAAAGGCCAUUGCUCCUCUUGUUCACUGACUGUAGAGGUGUAAAUUAAUGACGAAGAGACAAGAUUUUUUGUUUUUACUACUAUUUUUCCUGUUCCUUCUAUCUUAAAACUCAGGUGGAAAAAAAAGAAGAAAAAAGGAGGUACUAUGAGACUCUCACUCUGUCCCAAUCACCUCACAGACUCCUUGCAAUUGCCUUGGUUUCCUUUGUGAAUGUAUGAAUAAAAGCAUAUCCUGGAAUUGAGAGGCCUUCAGUAGUCUUAUGGCACUUUUCCACUGCAUGGUCCCAGUGCGACUCGACUCGGCACGGCUCGGUUAUUUUGCUUUUCCAUCAACGAUAGUACCUGGUACUUUUUUGAGUACCUGCUCUGGCGAGGUUCCAAGUGAGCCAAGCCAAUACUAUGUGUGACAUCGUCGGACUGCUGGGGCAAUUGAUGAGAGUGUCAUCACAGGAAGGGGAAUGAGCAAGAUGUCUGGCUCAAGAAUCAAGCCGUACAAUGCCCAACUGUAGAUCAGUUAAGAAUACUUAACAAUCCUGAAAACGUGCGCAAAGGAA